Molecule: ribosomal RNA, 253 nt
Filed under: uncultured bacterium
Lineage: Bacteria
Description: partial 16S ribosomal RNA
Rfam family: Bacterial small subunit ribosomal RNA
Source: RNAcentral
UACAGAGAGUGCAAACGUUGUUCGGAAUUACUGGGCUUGAAGCGCACGUAGGCGGCGUUGUAAGUGUCGGGUGAAAUCCCACGGCUCACCCGUGGAACUGCCCGGCAUACUGCGAUGCUAGAGUGUGGUAGGGGAGAGCGGAAUUUCUGGUGUAGAGGUGAAAUUCGUAGAUAUCAGAAGGAACAACAGCGGCGAAGGCGGCUCUCUGGACUAUUACUGACGCUGAGGUGCGAAAGCGUGGGGAGCAAACAGG